AUAUACAUAUCAAACCCCUUCUCAUUGCUGAGUGGUUUGGAUGUGGGGGUUUUUGCUGGCCUCUUAAAUGAGUUCAGCUCCCCUGAAAUGCAUUAGCAGAGCGAACCUGUUCAUUGGCGUGAUAACUAUCUGCGCUAUUGAAUGUGAGGGACAGUUCAGCUUUCAAAUGGUCCUUGGACAAUUUAUCAUUU
Molecule: unclassified non-coding RNA, 191 nt
Filed under: uncultured Cortinarius
Lineage: Eukaryota; Fungi; Basidiomycota; Agaricomycetes; Agaricales; Cortinariaceae
Description: sequence contains ITS2
Source: RNAcentral